Molecule: long non-coding RNA, 247 nt
Filed under: Populus trichocarpa (black cottonwood)
Lineage: Eukaryota; Viridiplantae; Streptophyta; Magnoliopsida; Malpighiales; Salicaceae
Description: long non-coding RNA (PTRI_LNC001644)
Source: RNAcentral
CUCGGCGGCAUUUUUCACAACAUGGGCAUGUUGGAGGUGGAGGUGGAGGUGGAGGUGGUGGAGGUGGAGGUGGAGGUGGAGGUGGUGGAGGUGGUGGUGGAGGAGGAGGUGGUGGAGGUGGUGGUGGAGGUGGUGGUGGUGGUGGAGGUAUAACAAUGCACUUGACAGUUCGACCUCCUUUGCAGUAUAUUUUUUUCAUGAUCUUCUCAGGACAGCAACACACCACAGUGAUUGUCACCGUGUUUUU